GAUGAACGCUGGCGGCGUGCCUAAUACAUGCAAGUCGAGCGAACGGACGAGAAGCUUGCUUCCCUGAUGUUAGCGGCGGACGGGUGAGUAACAUGUGGAUAACCUACCUAUAAGACUGGGAUAACUUCGUGAAACCGGUGCUAAUAACGGAUAAUAUUUUGAACCGCAUGAUUCAAGAGUGAAAGACGGUCUUGCUGUCACUUAUAGCUGGAUCCGCGCUGCAUUAGCUAGUUGGUAAGGUAACGGCUUACCAAGGCGACGAUGCAUAGCCGACCUGAGAGGGUGAUCGGCCACACUGGAACUGAGACACGGUCCAGACUCCUACGGGAGGCAGCAGUAGGGAAUCUUCCGCAAUGGGCGAAAGCCUGACGGAGCAACGCCGCGUGAGUGAUGAAGGUCUUCGGAUCGUAAAGCUCUGUUAUUAGGGAAGAACAUAUGUGUGAGUAACUGUGCACAUAUUGACGGUACCUAAACAGAAAGCCCCGGCUAACUACGUG
Molecule: ribosomal RNA, 497 nt
Filed under: uncultured bacterium
Lineage: Bacteria
Description: partial 16S ribosomal RNA
Rfam family: Bacterial small subunit ribosomal RNA
Source: RNAcentral